Molecule: ribosomal RNA, 395 nt
Filed under: uncultured bacterium
Lineage: Bacteria
Description: partial 16S ribosomal RNA
Rfam family: Bacterial small subunit ribosomal RNA
Source: RNAcentral
AUACGUAGGGUGCAAGCGUUAAUCGGAAUUACUGGGCGUAAAGCGUGCGCAGGCGGUUUUGUAAGACAGUGGUGAAACCCCCGGGCUCAACCUGGGAACUGCCAUUGUGACUGCAAGGCUGGAGUGCGGCAGAGGGGGAUGGAAUUCCGCGUGUAACAGUGAAAUGCGUAGAUAUGCGGAGGAACACCGAUGGCGAAGGCAAUCCCCUGGGCCUGCACUGACGCUCAUGCACGAAAGCGUGGGGAGCAAACAGGAUUAGAUACCCUGGUAGUCCACGCCCUAAACGAUGUCAACUGGUUGUUGGGGAUUUAUUUUCUCAGUAACGAAGCUAACGCGUGAAGUUGACCGCCUGGGGAGUACGGCCGCAAGGUUAAAACUUAAAGGAAUUGACGGGG